ACGAAUCACGGGAGUCCCAGGAUUACGGGGGCUGAGAGUGGGCACGCCUGCCCUUACCGUUCGACCUGAUCCGGAUCAUGCCGGCGAAGGGAGCAGAGCAUGGCACCCG
RNAcentral lists this non-coding RNA (109 nucleotides) under Mycobacterium kyorinense. Its description in RNAcentral is "TPP sequence". It matches the Rfam family "TPP riboswitch aptamer (THI element)". Rfam says of the family: Vitamin B(1) in its active form thiamin pyrophosphate (TPP) is an essential coenzyme that is synthesised by coupling of pyrimidine and thiazole moieties in bacteria. The record is from RNAcentral. Lineage: Bacteria; Bacillati; Actinomycetota; Actinomycetes; Mycobacteriales; Mycobacteriaceae.